This 2931-nucleotide ribosomal RNA is filed under the name Escherichia coli. RNAcentral's name for it is "23S ribosomal RNA". It matches the Rfam family "Bacterial large subunit ribosomal RNA". The record is from RNAcentral. Lineage: Bacteria; Pseudomonadati; Pseudomonadota; Gammaproteobacteria; Enterobacterales; Enterobacteriaceae.
GGGUUGUGAGGUUAAGCGACUAAGCGUACACGGUGGAUGCCCUGGCAGUCAGAGGCGAUGAAGGACGUGCUAAUCUGCGAUAAGCGUCGGUAAGGUGAUAUGAACCGUUAUAACCGGCGAUUUCCGAAUGGGGAAACCCAGUGUGUUUCGACACACUAUCAUUAACUGAAUCCAUAGGUUAAUGAGGCGAACCGGGGGAACUGAAACAUCUAAGUACCCCGAGGAAAAGAAAUCAACCGAGAUUCCCCCAGUAGCGGCGAGCGAACGGGGAGCAGCCCAGAGCCUGAAUCAGUGUGUGUGUUAGUGGAAGCGUCUGGAAAGGCGCGCGAUACAGGGUGACAGCCCCGUACACAAAAAUGCACAUGCUGUGAGCUCGAUGAGUAGGGCGGGACACGUGGUAUCCUGUCUGAAUAUGGGGGGACCAUCCUCCAAGGCUAAAUACUCCUGACUGACCGAUAGUGAACCAGUACCGUGAGGGAAAGGCGAAAAGAACCCCGGCGAGGGGAGUGAAAAAGAACCUGAAACCGUGUACGUACAAGCAGUGGGAGCCUCUUAAUGGGGUGACUGCGUACCUUUUGUAUAAUGGGUCAGCGACUUAUAUUCUGUAGCAAGGUUAACCGAAUAGGGGAGCCGAAGGGAAACCGAGUCUUAACUGGGCGUUAAGUUGCAGGGUAUAGACCCGAAACCCGGUGAUCUAGCCAUGGGCAGGUUGAAGGUUGGGUAACACUAACUGGAGGACCGAACCGACUAAUGUUGAAAAAUUAGCGGAUGACUUGUGGCUGGGGGUGAAAGGCCAAUCAAACCGGGAGAUAGCUGGUUCUCCCCGAAAGCUAUUUAGGUAGCGCCUCGUGAAUUCAUCUCCGGGGGUAGAGCACUGUUUCGGCAAGGGGGUCAUCCCGACUUACCAACCCGAUGCAAACUGCGAAUACCGGAGAAUGUUAUCACGGGAGACACACGGCGGGUGCUAACGUCCGUCGUGAAGAGGGAAACAACCCAGACCGCCAGCUAAGGUCCCAAAGUCAUGGUUAAGUGGGAAACGAUGUGGGAAGGCCCAGACAGCCAGGAUGUUGGCUUAGAAGCAGCCAUCAUUUAAAGAAAGCGUAAUAGCUCACUGGUCGAGUCGGCCUGCGCGGAAGAUGUAACGGGGCUAAACCAUGCACCGAAGCUGCGGCAGCGACACUAUGUGUUGUUGGGUAGGGGAGCGUUCUGUAAGCCUGUGAAGGUGUACUGUGAGGUAUGCUGGAGGUAUCAGAAGUGCGAAUGCUGACAUAAGUAACGAUAAAGCGGGUGAAAAGCCCGCUCGCCGGAAGACCAAGGGUUCCUGUCCAACGUUAAUCGGGGCAGGGUGAGUCGACCCCUAAGGCGAGGCCGAAAGGCGUAGUCGAUGGGAAACAGGUUAAUAUUCCUGUACUUGGUGUUACUGCGAAGGGGGGACGGAGAAGGCUAUGUUGGCCGGGCGACGGUUGUCCCGGUUUAAGCGUGUAGGCUGGUUUUCCAGGCAAAUCCGGAAAAUCAAGGCUGAGGCGUGAUGACGAGGCACUACGGUGCUGAAGCAACAAAUGCCCUGCUUCCAGGAAAAGCCUCUAAGCAUCAGGUAACAUCAAAUCGUACCCCAAACCGACACAGGUGGUCAGGUAGAGAAUACCAAGGCGCUUGAGAGAACUCGGGUGAAGGAACUAGGCAAAAUGGUGCCGUAACUUCGGGAGAAGGCACGCUGAUAUGUAGGUGAAGUCCCUCGCGGAUGGAGCUGAAAUCAGUCGAAGAUACCAGCUGGCUGCAACUGUUUAUUAAAAACACAGCACUGUGCAAACACGAAAGUGGACGUAUACGGUGUGACGCCUGCCCGGUGCCGGAAGGUUAAUUGAUGGGGUUAGCGGUAACGCGAAGCUCUUGAUCGAAGCCCCGGUAAACGGCGGCCGUAACUAUAACGGUCCUAAGGUAGCGAAAUUCCUUGUCGGGUAAGUUCCGACCUGCACGAAUGGCGUAAUGAUGGCCAGGCUGUCUCCACCCGAGACUCAGUGAAAUUGAACUCGCUGUGAAGAUGCAGUGUACCCGCGGCAAGACGGAAAGACCCCGUGAACCUUUACUAUAGCUUGACACUGAACAUUGAGCCUUGAUGUGUAGGAUAGGUGGGAGGCUUUGAAGUGUGGACGCCAGUCUGCAUGGAGCCGGCCUUGAAAUACCACCCUUUAAUGUUUGAUGUUCUAACGUUGGCCCCUGAUCGGGGUUGCGGACAGUGUCUGGUGGGUAGUUUGACUGGGGCGGUCUCCUCCUAAAGAGUAACGGAGGAGCACGAAGGUUGGCUAAUCCUGGUCGGACAUCAGGAGGUUAGUGCAAUGGCAUAAGCCAGCUUGACUGCGAGCGUGACGGCGCGAGCAGGUGCGAAAGCAGGUCAUAGUGAUCCGGUGGUUCUGAAUGGAAGGGCCAUCGCUCAACGGAUAAAAGGUACUCCGGGGAUAACAGGCUGAUACCGCCCAAGAGUUCAUAUCGACGGCGGUGUUUGGCACCUCGAUGUCGGCUCAUCACAUCCUGGGGCUGAAGUAGGUCCCAAGGGUAUGGCUGUUCGCCAUUUAAAGUGGUACGCGAGCUGGGUUUAGAACGUCGUGAGACAGUUCGGUCCCUAUCUGCCGUGGGCGCUGGAGAACUGAGGGGGGCUGCUCCUAGUACGAGAGGACCGGAGUGGACGCAUCACUGGUGUUCGGGUUGUCAUGCCAAUGGCACUGCCCGGUAGCUAAAUGCGGAAGAGAUAAGUGCUGAAAGCAUCUAAGCACGAAACUUGCCCCGAGAUGAGUUCUCCCUGACUCCUUGAGAGUCCUGAAGGAACGUUGAAGACGACGACGUUGAUAGGCCGGGUGUGUAAGCGCAGCGAUGCGUUGAGCUAACCGGUACUAAUGAACCGUGAGGCUUAACCUUACAACGCCGAAGGUGUUU